Long non-coding RNA from Brassica oleracea var. oleracea, 1939 nucleotides. RefSeq lists it as uncharacterized. Lineage: Eukaryota; Viridiplantae; Streptophyta; Magnoliopsida; Brassicales; Brassicaceae. The record is from RefSeq and is a predicted model, not a curated record. The transcript has 4 exons.
UGGGCUUUGGCGUAGUUUCCAAAUUUCACGGCCAUCGAGCCCGACAAUUUCAAAUUUAUGUUCAACAUCUCGAUUCUCUGUAAUCCACUCUUCCACUCUAUCUUCCAUCUUUGUAAUCCCCCUCCUAAUCAAUGAUGCUUUUUAUACCUUCUGGCUGGUUUCGUUCCAAUUUCCGUUCAUCCUCCUCUUAUAUAAAUGGCUUCGUCUAAACCUAAAUCCUAUCAAAAUCGAAACCUAGCAGUAAGAGCAACUGAAACCCCUAAUCGUAGAGCGCCUUUCUGAUCGAUGAGCAGCCUCUGAGAAAUAAUAUUAAACGAUGGAGAUAACUACAAUCUAUAGCGUGGAAUUGGAAGAGGAUACUUUUGGAGAAAUCUCAGGGCAUCAAGGAGCUGCCACUCGGCUAAGAGAUGGGUCCACUGGACUCACGUUAUUUACUUGGAAAGUAAUCUUUAUCUCUCCCUCUCUUGAGUUUUAGUUUGUCUCAUUCUCCUGGUUUCUUUGUCCAGUUACGGACGAUUCAAAAAUUCACUGUGAGCUAAUCAUAUAGAGACUCAACACCGAAAGAUACACCUCUAAUUUGAUGUUGCUUUGUUUUAAUCCCCAGUCUUGAAUUUUGCACUACCUUUCCUUUUAAAAAUAAAUAUCUUCUUAGUUUAACUACAAGUGAAUUAAUAUAAUUACAAAGAUUAAGUGAUUGUGAAUAUAUGGCUAAUAUAUAUAAUGAUGUGUUUUCCUGUGAAACUGUUUGGUGUCACUUUGUCCCAAUGAUAGGAAAGAUUCAACGGCACUUUUCCACUUUUAUCUUCUAGGUCCCUGAAUCUACAAUCACACUUUGAUGAUCUAAUUAUCGUACUGCAAAAUUGAAUUAUUCUACCUUUGAUUUGGUUCGUAUAUGUUGUGUUAUGUUCCAUGGGUUUCUAUGCUUGAACGCGCAUUCUAUCAAUCAUAUUGACUUAUUUUCCUGUCUGAGAAUAUUUUUCUACAUUAUUUUUCUUAUGGAUUUGCUUCCUACUUCUUCAAAGAGGAGUAUAUUUUAAGUGGCUCACGAUAUCAAAAAAACUCCUUCGGGAAAUGUUACAGCUAUUGCCAAUGUUAAAUUUCAGCUAAUGAUUGGUACCCGGUUAAAGUAAGAGUGACUUUGUUUUCUUUCCUUCUCCAGAGUCUCACAAGGUUUGGGAUUUUAUUGCAUCUGAUCAUUAUUGCUGUGAGAAAUGGGUAUAGGGAGAUGAAAGUAUCAUCAAAGAUAUCAGAGGGCACAUGAAGGAGAAUAACAUAUUUGGAUUGAGAGUGAUGAUAUUUUGCGGACAGACCAAAUUCAGCAUCAAGUCAACGUUCAUGAGAGAGAGAGGCAUACAAAGCAGCUAAAAAAUAUUGACCAAGGUGAUGAAGCUGUUGAACCAGACAAGGUUUCCUAUGGACUAAUGAAAAAGAAAGAGAAUGACGAUGUGGAUGUCAAAUUUGGUAAAGGCUGGCUGCUUCUUUACAGGUAUAUAGAAAUAUUAGCCCUGUUCUUUUACCAUUCGUGGCGUCAGCGGUAGCGAUAGAGCAAAACGACGGUGACUGAAUUGAAUAAUAAAGCAAAACGACGUUGACUGAGCUAUUUAUUGCCGCUGGGUAACGAAGCAGCAGAUUUUUUUUGCAAACAGAGGUUCUCACUGAAAAUAUUAGCGUCCAUGAAAGACGUCACGGACAACACCUGCGAUCACUUCCAGCGAUUAUUUAUGUUUCCACCAUGCUACUUUUCUCUCAACUAAAGUUACUUUUUCUUGCUGCUGUCGCUACCGCAGCUAUUCCUUAACGAGCAGGGCUAUUAUAUAUUGUACAAUCCUUCAGAUUCAAUCGUGUUUCAGUUAUGAACAAUACAGCAAAGUGAGUCUGCAUGUAAUAUUCUUUGGGAAUUUAUGUGUGACUCAUAAAAUGUAGUUGACACAUCAAAACA